Molecule: ribosomal RNA, 465 nt
Filed under: uncultured bacterium
Lineage: Bacteria
Description: partial 16S ribosomal RNA
Rfam family: Bacterial small subunit ribosomal RNA
Source: RNAcentral
GACGAACGCUGGCGGCGUGCUUAACACAUGCAAGUCGAACGGAAAGGCCCUGCUUGCAGGGUCCUCGAGUGGCGAACGGGUGAGUAACACGUGGGUGAUCUGCCCUGCACUUCGGGAUAAGCCUGGGAAACUGGGUCUAAUACCGGAUAGGAGCCAUUUUUAGUGUGAUGGUUGGAAAGUUUUUUCGGUGUAGGAUGAGCUCGCGGCCUAUCAGCUUGUUGGUGGGGUAAUGGCCUACCAAGGCGGCGACGGGUAGCCGGCCUGAGAGGGUGGACGGCCACAUUGGGACUGAGAUACGGCCCAGACUCCUACGGGAGGCAGCAGUGGGGAAUAUUGCACAAGGGGCGCAAGCCUGAUGCAGCGACGCCGCGUGGGGGAUGACGGCCUUCGGGUUGUGAACUCCUUUCGCUAGGGACGAAGCUUUUUGUGACGGUACCUAGAUAAGAAGCACCGGCUAACUACGUG